Molecule: ribosomal RNA, 254 nt
Filed under: uncultured bacterium
Lineage: Bacteria
Description: partial 16S ribosomal RNA
Rfam family: Bacterial small subunit ribosomal RNA
Source: RNAcentral
UACGAAGGGGGGCUAGCGUUGUUCGGAAUUACUGGGCGUAAAGGGUUUGUAGGCGGUUGAACAAGUCAGUGGUGAAAGCCCAGAGCUUAACUCUGGAAUUGCCAUUGAAACUGUUCAGCUUGAGAGUGUUAGAGGAAAGUGGAAUUCCUAGUGUAGGAGUGAAAUCCGUAGAGAUUAGGAGGAAUAUCGAUGGCGAAGGCAGCUUUCUGGGACAUUUCUGACGCUGAGAAACGAAAGCGUGGGUAGCAAACAGG